CCAAUAGCGUAUAUUAAAGUUGUUGCAGUUAAAAAGCUCGUAGUUGAAUUUCGGGACCAAUCUGUUGGUCGUGCCUCGGUACGUACUGGUAUUAUUGGUUUCUCCCUUCUGAAGAAUCUCGAUGCCAUUAAUUUGGUGUCGUGGGGAAUCAGGACUGUUACUUUGAAAAAAUUAGAGUGUUUAAAGCAAGCAUACGCUUGAAUACAUUAGCAUGGAAUAAUGAAAUAGGACGUUUGAUUCUAUUUUGUUGGUUUCUAGGAUCGACGUAAUGAUUAAUAGGGAUAGUUGGGGGCAUUAGUAUUCAAUUGUCAGAGGUGAAAUUCUUGGAUUUAUUGAAGACUAACUACUGCGAAAGCAUUUGCCAAGGAUGUUUUCAUUAAUCAAGAACGAAAGUUAGGGGAUCGAAGACGAUCAGAUACCGUCGUAGUCUUAACCAUAAACUAUGCCGACUAGGGAUCGGGUGAUGUUAAUUUUUUAAUGACUCAUUCGGCGCCUUAC
Molecule: ribosomal RNA, 498 nt
Filed under: uncultured Glomeromycotina
Lineage: Eukaryota; Fungi; Glomeromycota
Description: partial small subunit ribosomal RNA
Rfam family: Eukaryotic small subunit ribosomal RNA
Source: RNAcentral